Molecule: ribosomal RNA, 253 nt
Filed under: uncultured bacterium
Lineage: Bacteria
Description: partial 16S ribosomal RNA
Rfam family: Bacterial small subunit ribosomal RNA
Source: RNAcentral
UACGUAGGCAGCGAGCGUUGUUCGGAGUUACUGGGCGUAAAGGGUGUGUAGGCGGUUUUCUAAGUUUGGUGUGAAAUCUCCCGGCUCAACCGGGAGGGUGCGCCGAAAACUGGGAGACUAGAGUGCGGGAUGGGAGAGUAGAAUUCCUGGUGUAGCGGUGAAAUGCGUAGAUAUCAGGAGGAAUACCGGUGGUGUAGGCGGCUCUCUGGGCCGCCACUGACGCUGAGACACGAAAGCGUGGGUAGCAAACAGG